This 4966-nucleotide long non-coding RNA is filed under the name Citrus sinensis (sweet orange). RNAcentral describes it as "long non-coding RNA (CSIN_LNC005204)". The record is from RNAcentral. Lineage: Eukaryota; Viridiplantae; Streptophyta; Magnoliopsida; Sapindales; Rutaceae.
ACUUUAAAUUACAAAGACUUGCCAUGGAUCUUGGAAUUCUCCCUGCAAGAUCAGUAUUUAAUGAGAGAUCGAGCCGACUGAUGGAAGUCAAGUUUCCAAGAGCCUCUGAGUCAAUUGUACCUUGCAAUUUAUUGUUGCGAAGACUAAGGUACUCAAGAUGGAUGAAUCUAUACAACCAGUUGGGAAUUGAAGAGUUGAAGUAGUUGGAAUCUAAACCUAGAUGUUUAAGGGAAGUUAGGUUUUGAAGUCUCCCAGGAAUUGGACCUUGAAAAUUAUUAAAACCUAGGUCAAGAAAGAGCAAAUGACUUAGACCAAAAACCCAACUAGGAAUGAACGAGUUAUCAAAUUGGUUGUGGGAAAGGUCAAGUACUGUGAGAGACGAAAAAUUUGCGGUGGCUAAUGGAGAGAAUUGGAGUUGGCAAUUUGACAAUCUUAAUUCUACCAAAGAAGGGAGUUUGUUUGCUACCAUCAGCCAAUCAAAGGCUUUGCUAAGAUUCACAGAACGCAAAUCGAGGUGUUCCAGGACAGAAAGACCAGAAAGCCACAUAAAAUUGUCAACGUAUAAUAAAUAAUUUGAACUAAGGUCAAGAAACUGCAGAUUGGAGAGAUUUCCAAGUUGUUGAGGUAUCAUUCCGCCGAUUCGAGUUCCAGAAAAAUUGAGAUACCGUAGAUUUCCCAUGGAGCCAACAAAUCUAGGAAUUUGAUCACCUUGGAAAUCAUUGAAGCUCAAGUCCAGGUAACUCAAAUGCUUUAAAUCAAGCAAAGAAGGAUUUAUCUUACCAACAAGCGCUGUCCCCCGAAUAGCGUCAUAUUCAGACUCCUUGGAAUAAUUGAAAGGAUUUCGAAGGUCGAGGUGAAGCACAUGGCCGGUCAUGUUGUCACAGACAACACCAGUCCAUGCUCAACAAUCUCCGCUGCCAGUCCAAGAAGCAAGCCUGUUAGAAGGGUCUUUAAGAUCUCGCUUGAGCCUUAAAAGUGCUCCUCUCUCACUUUCAAGGCAACCCCCGUGAUAAGAACUUCCGUUGCAGAAGCUAAUGCUAAUGGUUGCUAUGGCAAGUAUUUCAAAGAGAAAUAAGGCAAAAACAAGGACACAGCUCAUGUUCGGUUUCAUUGCUAUAUGCAGUAAUGAAGAAAAUGUGAAAGAAUGUUAUCAAUGGCAUUGCUAUUUAUAAUGAAGGGAGAUUGCAAAUUUUCCCCCUACAGUAAUCAACAUAUACCAUUUUUAUCUCUGUUGUUUUUAUAAUGGUCAAAAACCUCCUUAAUAGCAUAAGUUUAUAAUAUUACCCUUAUUUUCAACUACUUUUUUAUUUAUAUUUAUUAUAAAUUAAAUAAAUCACAUGAAUAGAAACUAAAUAAAAAAUUAAGCAUUAAAAACAAGAAAUAUAUGUUUUGAUAUGAAAAAAAAAUUAAUAAUAAAUUUUUUUAUACUUAUUUAUUUUGUGAAAAUUUUCUUAUAAUAAAUAUAUAAGAAAAUUAUUAGUAAAAUGAUAAAAAAAUUAUUAUAAGAAAACUUGAUUGACAAAUAAAAAUUUAUUAUAAAGGCGGAUGUACGGUACAGCAGAGAAAAUUAUUAGUAAAAUGAUAAAAAAAUUAUUAUAAGAAAAUUUGAACAACAAAUAAAAAUUUAUUAUAAGAUAAAUAAUAAAAUAUUUUGCCUAUACUUUUUACAUUUGAUUUUAAAAUAUUACAAAAUGUUUAUUAUAAGAAAAUGUUCACAAAAUAAAUAAUUACAAUAAAAAAUUUUAUUAUGAAUUUUUUUGCUCAUAUCAAAAUAUAUAUUUUUUGUUUUUAAUACUUAAUUUUUUUAUUUAGUUAAUAUUCAUGUAAUUUAUUUAAUUUAUAAUAAAUGUAAAUAAAAGAGUAGUUAAAAAUAAGGGUAAUAUUGUAAACUUAUGUUGUUAGGGGAGUUUUUAGCCAUUAUAAAAAUAAAAAGAGAGUAAAUGGUAUAUGUUAAUUACUGUAGGGGGAAAAGUGUCAAUCCCCCUAUAAUGAAUUGUAAUUUUUAUGAACAAUGCCAAUACACUCUUGCAGAUAACGUUAACUUUAUUUACAUCUAUUUGAUCGUGGGCCACGUAAAUAUCUUUCGCACAAUCAAUUUCAAUAAUACCCUACUUUCUACGGAAACGAUUGUAAGUUAAUUUAAUAAUGGUGGAGCUAUUUGAAUUUUGAGCCCACCAAUUUCCUUUAAAAAAUUGGCUCAGACGUUAUUAUAAAAACAAUAAUAAAAUAACAAAAUAGAUGGCCAAUAAUGGUCUGGGGGGAAAAUUGACAAUCUUUACAUGAUUAAUGGCUCCAUAUUUUUACAAUGUAAAAUUAUUGAUGUGUGUGAAAUGGUACCAUAUAGGGACAUUAACGAAAUUUUGUUGACAAGGCUGGUGUGCUCUAUCAAUCAAUCUCAAUAUAGCAAUAUCUCUCUAUAGUUAUAAUAUUAGGACCAAAUUAGUUAAUUGCAAUGAAGAGAUUAUAACUUAAUACAUGAGUAGUUACGAAAAUUAUUGUUUUAACUUAUUUAUCCUUAGUGCAAGAAUAUAGAGGUAAAGUAUGUAAUACAUUAAUAAUUUAUUAAUGGAGCAUAUCAAAUCCAAAUAUAUCAAAAAAUUAGUUCAAUGUAUCUAUGCACUAUUAUUAGGAAUAUUAAAGUCAUCUUAAAAAACUCUAAUUAUUUGCAUUCUCUUCAUUAAUUAUCUCUCAUUGUGUAGUUGUACUAUCUGGAAGUAAGUUCCUUUAAUAUAACAUAACAUAUAUUUUUACGGUACAUUAAUAAUUAUUACUAAGUGGAGGCAAGUUUCUUAAAAUGGGAUCUAAAAAUUCUUAAAAUCGGAUUAAAAAACUAUAAUUUAUUAUAAUAUGCAGUUUAUUCUUAUUUAUAACUGGCCUAAACUGAAAUCAAAAUUUUUUAUUAUUAACUAAAAAUUAAUUCUAUAUAGAGUAUUACUAUCGGGAAAUUUUGCCAUACUUAUAUCUUAUUCAGCAAAUCAACAUGCAUUUGAAUUUGAAAUUCAUAAUUUGGAAAGAAGUAACCAGAAUCUUAGUUUCCUGCAUAAUCGAAUGGGAAAAGGCCACCCACAACCGUAAGGUUUUGUUAAGUGGUCACAUAAACCCCCUUUCGUUUCAUAAAUGGUCAGAUAGACACCUUAAUUUCAUAAAUGAUUAUUAUACCCUUUGAUUAUAACAACCCGAAUUAAUAUAAAUACAAUAAUAAGAUAAAAAUAAAAAAUAUAUAUCAUAUGAUAUAAAUAAAAAAUUACAAUAAGUGUAUUUAAUAAAAUUGCCUAUAUAAUGAAUUAUCUUAAAUAUUAAGUUGUUAUUAGACUAUCCUGAUGGAAUUUAUUAAUACUAAAAUAUAUUAAUCCAAAAAUUAAUUUUAAUAUAUUAUACUGAUAGACAAUUAAAAAAGACAUAGUCAAUCGAAUAAUAUACAAUUUAUAAAUAACUAUGAAUAUUAUGUAUAGUUAUUUUAACAUUAUUAAUAUGUCAAAUAGAUUUUAUUAUUAUUAAAAGAAUAUGACAGAUUAAUGAUGUUAAAAUAACUUUUCUAAUAUUCCAAAUAAUUUAUACAUUUGAUCUUAAUUUAUACAUUAUAUUUUUUUUGCAUUUUAAUUUUUAUUUAUUAUAAAAGUUUAUUUAAAAUGAAUAUUGAAUUGUUGUAAUAAAAGUUUAUUUAAAGUGAAUAUUGAAUAGUUGUAAUCAAGGGUAUAACGGUUAAAAAAAGACUUGAUUUUAAUAUAUUAUACUGAUAGACAAUUAAAAAAGACAUAGUCAAUCGAAUAAUAUACAAUUUAUAAAUAACUAUGAAUAUUAUGUAUAGUUAUUUUAACAUUAUUAAUAUGUCAAAUAGAUUUUAUUAUUAUUAAAAGAAUAUGACAGAUUAAUGAUGUUAAAAUAACUUUUCUAAUAUUCCAAAUAAUUUAUACAUUUGAUCUUAAUUUAUACAUUAUAUUUUUCGAGAUCUAAAAUCUUUAAUUGGGAAGCAGAUUUCAAAAAUCUAAUGGGAAAAAUAUCUGAAAUUCUUGAGUUGACUAAAUCUAGAAACUGUAAAUGCCUUUGUGAAUUAAGCCAUAGAGGAAAUCGAGACCCUAUAUAACAACUAUGCAAUCCUAAUGCAACAAGUUGGAAAGGAGGAAUCCAAUCAUGGUUCACUUCCAACGUCAAUUGGUUUCCACCUACUCUGAACCAUGACAGUUCUGUCAGAUUGGCAAAGUGAAGUUCAGAAAGUGUUCCGUUUAACUUAUUAUCUUAUAUCUGUAGUUCUCUCCAGGUUGAGAGUUGACCAAAUGACUCUGGAAUAGGACCAACAAUUGAAUUAUUAGCAAGAUUAAGAGUGACGAGAUUUCUAAAUUGGCCAAGCUGAUCAGUCAAAUGACCAUAUAUUGAACUACUCCGCAUAUCUAAACUCUCUAGUCCAUUAGAAACACAUCCCGAGAAAAUAUCUAAAAUCUCAGAAAUUUCUUGGCUCACAUGGACACCCCGAAGAUUGAUUGACUUUAAAUUACAAAGACUUGCCAUGGAUCUUGGAAUUCUCCCUGCAAGACCAGUAUUUAAUGAGAGAUCGAGCCGACUGAUGGAAGUCAAGUUUCCAAGAGCCUCUGAGUCAAUUGUACCUUGCAAUUUAUUGUUGCGAAGACUAAGGUACUCAAGAUGGAUGAAUCUAUACAACCAGUUGGGAAUUGAAGAGUUGAAGUAGUUGGAAUCUAAACCCAGAUGUUUAAGGGAAGUCAGGUUUUGAAGUCCCCCAGGAAUUGGACCUUGAAAAUUAUUAAAACCUAGGUCAAGAAAGAGCAAAUGACUUAGACCAAAGACCCAACUAGGAAUGAACGAGUUAUCAAAUUGGUUGUGGGAAAGGUCAAGCACUGUGAGAGACGAAAAAUUUGCGGUGGCUAAUGGAGAGAAGUGUUGGAGUUGGCAAUUUGACAAUCUUAAUUCUACCAAAGAAGGGAGUUUGUUUGCUACCAUCAGCCAAUCAAAG